ACUUGCAGGGAAUACAAAAAGUUCCCAUCUUUGCAGUCCCAAAACGAACAAGGGAAAGCGAGGCGCAAGGCUAAGUGAGAGAUUGAAAAGAGGAAAAGAGGAGGCGAGGAAAAAAGUUCAACUUUUUUUUGGAAAUAUCAAAAACCUUCUUACCUUUGCAAUCCCAAAUCGGGGAAAGAAAACCAGACGGCGCGACGCCAGAAGGGAAUGAAAACAAGAUCGUUAAGCAACUGAAUCAAACAGGUUGCUCAAACAUAAAAAAGCCGCACCGCGACGGGAAGGCGAAAAAGUUCUUUAAAAGAAAUGUCAGUAGUAUAACGGGUAACGAAGGUUACCUGUUAGAUAAUAAAUUGAUAACAGACAAAUAACCUAGUCAAUUCCAGCGAAUAGCAUUAAUAAUAAAACGAUUCUAUUUGAAUAAAAUAGGGUCAGAGAACAAAACUUCAUUACAAUGGAGAGUUUGAUCCUGGCUCAGGAUGAACGCUAGCGGCAGGCCUAAUACAUGCAAGUCGAGGGGUAUGGGUUGCUUGCAACCCAGAGACCGGCGCACGGGUGCGUAACGCGUAUGCAAUCUACCUUAAUCAGGGGGAUAGCCCGGAGAAAUCCGGAUUAACACCGCAUAACAUUAUAUUGUGGCAUCACAGUAUAAUCAAAUAUUUAUAGGAUUAAGAUGAGCAUGCGUGACAUUAGUUAGUUGGUGAGGUAACGGCUCACCAAGACCACGAUGUCUAGGGGAUCUGAGAGGAUGACCCCCCACACUGGUACUGAGACACGGACCAGACUCCUACGGGAGGCAGCAGUAAGGAAUAUUGGUCAAUGGGCGCAAGCCUGAACCAGCCAUGCCGCGUGCAGGAAGACGGCCCUAUGGGUUGUAAACUGCUUUUGUACCGGAAUAAACCUUCUCUUGCGAGAGAAGCUGAACGUACGGUAAGAAUAAGGAUCGGCUAACUCCGUGCCAGCAGCCGCGGUAAUACGGAGGAUCCAAGCGUUAUCCGGAUUUAUUGGGUUUAAAGGGUGCGUAGGCGGCUUUUUAAGUCAGGGGUGAAAACUUGCGGCUCAACCGUAAGCUUGCCUUUGAUACUGAGGAGCUUGAAUACACUUGAGGUAGGCGGAAUGUGACAAGUAGCGGUGAAAUGCAUAGAUAUGUCACAGAACACCAAUUGCGAAGGCAGCUUACUAAAGUGUGAUUGACGCUGAGGCACGAAAGCGUGGGGAUCAAACAGGAUUAGAUACCCUGGUAGUCCACGCCCUAAACGAUGAAUACUCGAUGUUAGCGAUAUACAGUUAGCGUCUAAGCGAAAGCGUUAAGUAUUCCACCUGGGGAGUACGCCCGCAAGGGUGAAACUCAAAGGAAUUGACGGGGGCCCGCACAAGCGGAGGAGCAUGUGGUUUAAUUCGAUGAUACGCGAGGAACCUUACCCGGGCUUGAAAGUUACUGAAGUUCUCAGAGAUGAGAGCGUCCUUCGGGACAGGAAACUAGGUGCUGCAUGGCUGUCGUCAGCUCGUGCCGUGAGGUGUUGGGUUAAGUCCCGCAACGAGCGCAACCCCUGUGAAUAGUUGCCAGCACGUAAUGGUGGGGACUCUAUUCAGACUGCCUGUGCAAACAGAGAGGAAGGAGGGGACGACGUCAAGUCAUCAUGGCCCUUACGUCCGGGGCUACACACGUGCUACAAUGGAUGGUACAGAGGGCUGCUACCUGGUAACAGGAUGCCAAUCUCUUAAAGCCAUUCACAGUUCGGAUUGAGGUCUGCAACUCGACCUCAUGAAGUUGGAUUCGCUAGUAAUCGCGUAUCAGCAAUGACGCGGUGAAUACGUUCCCGGGCCUUGUACACACCGCCCGUCAAGCCAUGGAAGCUGGGGGUACCUGAAGUAUGUAACCGCAAGGAGCGUCCUAGGGUAAAACCGGUAACUGGGGCUAAGUCGUAACAAGGUAGCCGUACCGGAAGGUGCGGCUGGAAUACCUCCUUUCU
This 1970-nucleotide ribosomal RNA is filed under the name Arcticibacter pallidicorallinus. RNAcentral's name for it is "bacterial SSU rRNA". The stretch from base 449 to 1968 matches the Rfam family "Bacterial small subunit ribosomal RNA". The record is from RNAcentral. Lineage: Bacteria; Pseudomonadati; Bacteroidota; Sphingobacteriia; Sphingobacteriales; Sphingobacteriaceae.